RNAcentral lists this long non-coding RNA (1619 nucleotides) under Homo sapiens (human). Its description in RNAcentral is "HSALNT0286605". Lineage: Eukaryota; Metazoa; Chordata; Mammalia; Primates; Hominidae. The record is from RNAcentral.
AGAUUGUAGUUUUUGUUUUGGCCGGAAAGGCUUACCAUGAGUUGCCAGGGCUGAGAGAGAUGGAGAAGGAUUCGCGGCGGUGACAGAUUAAAUUCCCCAGUUACAUUAUAGACUUGGAGACUUGUCCUUGUGUGGACGGGAGCCGGAAAGCCUUGAGAACUUAUUCCUCGACCCGGACAUGGCACAGGAGAAAAUGAAACUAGGUUUCAAGUCGCUGCCGAGUUCCACUACCGCAGACGGCAACAUUCUGAGAAGAGUCAACAGUGCCCCUUUGAUCAAUGGACUUGGUUUUAAUUCACAGGUGUUGCAAGCUGACAUGUUAAGAAUUAGGACAAACAGAACAACAUUUAGGAAUCGACGCUCUCUGUUGUUGCCACCUCCUCCCUUUCAUGGUUCCAUCAGCCGCCUUCAUCAAAUCAAACAGUCUCCCUCUGAUGCCGAGCGGAAGCUGGACUGUACUGCUGCCAUCUCGGCUCACUGCAACCUCCCUGCCUGAUUCUCCUGCCUCAGCCUGCCGAGUGCCUGCGAUUGCAGGCGCGCGCAGCCACACCUGACUGGUUUUCGUAUUUUUUUGGUGGAGACGGGGUUUCGCUGUGUUGGCCGGGCUGGUCUCCAGCUCCUAACCGCAAGUGAUCUGCCAGCCUCGGCCUCCCGAGGUGCCGGGAUUGCAGACGGAGUCUGGUUCACUCAGUGCUCAAUGGUGCCCAGGCUGGAGUGCAGUGGCGUGAUCUCGGCUCGCUACAACCUCCACCUCCCAGCCGCCUGCCUUGGCCUCCCAAAGUGCCGAGAUUGCAGCCUCUGCCCGGCCGCCACCCCGUCUGGGAAGUGAGGAGCAUCUCUGCCUGGCCGCCCAUCGUCUGGGAGGUGAGGAGCCCCUCUGCCUGGCUGCCCAGUCUGGAAAGUGAGGAGCGUCUCUGCCCGGCCGCCAUCCCAUCUAGGAAGUGAGGAGCGCCUCUUCCCGGCCGCCAUCCCAUCUAGGAAGUGAGGAGCGUCUCUGCCCCGCUGCCCCGUCUGGGAUGUGAGGAGCGCCUCUGCCCGGCCGCGACCCCGUCUGGGAGGUGAGGAGCAUCUCUGCCCGGCCGCCCCGUCUGAGAAGUGAGGAGACCCUCCGCCUGGCAACCGCCCCGUCUGAGAAGUGAGGAGCCCCUCCGCCCAGCAGCCGCCCCGUCUGAGAAGAAGAAGCCAUGGAUUUAAUAAAUAGAGAAACAAUGUCUGAAUGGAAGCUACAAAGUGAGAUACAGAUAAGUCACUCUUGGGAAGAAGGCUUGAAACUGAAUGACAAUGGCUUACAGAAAUCAUCCUCUCUAAAGUGCAUUGAUUUAACUCCAGUAUCCUCAAUGGCUUCUUCCAUCAAGAAGACUGGGAAGAAGAAGUCAAAAUCCUACCAACAUUAUUAGACCAAGUAUCCUUGGACCAUUAAAAAGAAAAGGUGAAAUGGCAUUUCAAUAUCAACCAAAAAAGAUUUUCCAAGGCACAACCAACAUGCUUUCUUCUGAUACUUCCCAACUGUCAGAAAAUAAUGUGUAUCUACUUCCAGCUACUUUUGAUGGAAACGACAGCAAUGCUGGAUCUUCUGGUAAUUCGUCAGCUGAAAUCGGCACUGUCACAAACUCUCCUGU